CGAAAGCUACGCUAAUACCGCAUACGAUCUAUGGAUGAAAGCGGGGGAUCGCAAGACCUCGCGCGAUUGGAGCGGCCGAUAUCAGAUUAGGUAGUUGGUGAGGUAAGGCUCACCAAGCCGACGAUCUGUAGCUGGUCUGAGAGGAUGAUCAGCCACACUGGGACUGAGACACGGCCCAGACUCCUACGGGAGGCAGCAGUGGGGAAUAUUGGACAAUGGGCGAAAGCCUGAUCCAGCCAUGCCGCGUGUGUGAAGAAGGUCUUCGGAUUGUAAAGCACUUUAAGUUGGGAGGAAGGGUAGUAACCUAAUACGUUGCUACUUUGACGUUACCGACAGAAUAAGCACCGGCUAACUUCGUG
Molecule: ribosomal RNA, 359 nt
Filed under: uncultured bacterium
Lineage: Bacteria
Description: bacterial SSU rRNA
Rfam family: Bacterial small subunit ribosomal RNA
Source: RNAcentral